GCCGGGCGCGGUGGCUCACACCUGUAAUCCCAGCACUUUGGGAGGCUGAGGUGGGGGGAUCACCUGAGUUCAGGAGUUUGAGACCAGCCUGGACAACAUGGUGAAACCCCAUCUCUA
Unclassified non-coding RNA from Papio anubis (olive baboon), 117 nucleotides. It matches the Rfam family "Metazoan signal recognition particle RNA". From Rfam's summary of the family: The signal recognition particle (SRP) is a universally conserved ribonucleoprotein. It is involved in the co-translational targeting of proteins to membranes. The record is from Ensembl. NCBI's taxonomy places the organism in Eukaryota, Metazoa, Chordata, Mammalia, Primates, Cercopithecidae.